UACGUAGGUGGCGAGCGUUAUCCGGAAUGAUUGGGCGUAAAGGGAGCGUAGACGGUACGCCAAGUCUGAAGUGAAAUGCCGCAGCUUAACUGCGGAACUGCUUUGGAAACUGGCGGGCUGGAGUGCGGGAGGGGUAAGCGGAAUUCCUAGUGUAGCGGUGAAAUGCGUAGAUAUUAGGAGGAACACCGGUGGCGAAGGCGGCUUCCUGGUCUGCAACUGACACUGAGGCGCGAAAGCGUGGGGAGCAAACAGG
RNAcentral lists this ribosomal RNA (253 nucleotides) under uncultured Eubacteriales bacterium. RNAcentral's name for it is "uncultured Clostridiales bacterium partial 16S ribosomal RNA". It matches the Rfam family "Bacterial small subunit ribosomal RNA", at positions 524 to 776 of the family's 1533-position model. The record is from RNAcentral. Lineage: Bacteria; Bacillati; Bacillota; Clostridia; Eubacteriales.